AAAAAUUAAAAAAAAAUAAAAGAAAAAGAAAGAAAAUUCAAAAAUUUCUGCUAUACAAGAAAAAUACCAAGUUUGUUACCCAUCAACAUACCCAUUCACAUUUACCAUGAAAGGAGUAGACAGUAGUUGUCAUAGUAAUUCUAUAAAUACAACUUCAAAGGCACAAGCCUUCAUUGUACAACAUAUAUAUUACUAACCAAUAGGUUUUGUUAGGCUUCUAGUUUUGGUUCUGACUGUUAUUAUCUUUCUUAGUUCAAUUCCUAUAAUCAUCAAAACACUCAAAUGUUUAAGUAAUUUCCAUAAUUGUUGCUUGAAUGACUUGACUUCCUUGUGAUGAAAAUGAUGAAACUGUAAUGAGUCCCUACACAAGGAACUCGUACAAUUCAUGUUUGCAAAUGUGUUCUGAAUUUAUAUACGUGGCAAACAGAGCUAAUUGAUAUUGCCAAGUCCAAAGAACAAGGGGAGUUGUUGCAAUGGGAGUAUGUGCAGAAAAUGAAGUACUCAUGGAGCAUGGCCUCUGACGUUAUGAGACUAUCUCCACCUGUAAGCAUUGCUUUCAGAGAGGCCCUAGAUUUCACAUAUCAAGGUUAUACCAAAAGGAUGAAAAGUACCCUCACCUUUUACUUUAAGUUGUAUAUUGUUAUGAAGUAUUAAUAAUAAAUAUUAUUAUGAACUGUUUGG
RNAcentral lists this unclassified non-coding RNA (681 nucleotides) under Hevea brasiliensis (rubber tree). Lineage: Eukaryota; Viridiplantae; Streptophyta; Magnoliopsida; Malpighiales; Euphorbiaceae. The record is from RNAcentral.